AGUCCACUGAAUAUAGAAAAUGAAAGUGCAAGUGGGACAUCUGUGUACUAUGGACACAUUCUUGUUUUUUUAUUUUUUUUACAUUGAGUCUAUGGGAGCAACAUUGUGACUUUAACACUGCUUAAUCAAAAAUGGCGAUUUUAGGGUAGGUAGGGUACAGUAAACACACAUACUUUUGUUUUUGGCCUUGUGUCUAAGUUCAGG
This 204-nucleotide long non-coding RNA is filed under the name Mytilus galloprovincialis (Mediterranean mussel). The record is from RNAcentral. Lineage: Eukaryota; Metazoa; Mollusca; Bivalvia; Mytilida; Mytilidae.